AACUUCCGCAAUGUGAGAAAUCGCGACGGGGGGAUCCCAAGUGCCAUUCUUAACGGGAUGGCUUUUCAUUAGUGUAAAGAGCUUUUGGAAUAAGAGCUGGGCAAGACCGGUGCCAGCCGCCGCGGUAACACCGGCAGCUCUAGUGGUAACAAUUUUUAUUGGGCCUAAAGCGUCCGUAGCCGGUUUAAUAAGUCUCUGGUGAAAUCCUGUAGCUUAACUGUGGGAAUUGCUGGAGAUACUAUUAGACUUGAGACCGGGAGAGGUUAGAGGUACUCCCAGGGUAGAGGUGAAAUUCUGUAAUCCUGGGAGGACCGCCCGUUGCGAAGGCGUCUAACUGGAACGGUUCUGACGGUGAGGGACGAAAGUUAGGGGCGCGAACCGGAUUAGAUACCCGGGUAGUCCUAACUGUAAACGAUGCGGACUUGGUGUUGGGGUGGCUUUGAGCUGCUCCAGUGCCGAAGGGAGCUGUUAAGUCCGCCGCCUGGGAAGUACGGUCGCAAGACUGAAACUUAAAGGAAUU
Molecule: ribosomal RNA, 520 nt
Filed under: uncultured bacterium
Lineage: Bacteria
Description: bacterial SSU rRNA
Rfam family: Archaeal small subunit ribosomal RNA
Source: RNAcentral